UAAGCAUUGUGAAAUGAUAUAUAUAUGUAUAUAUUUAAUGGAUUGAUUGAUGUGUGUGUGUGUGUGAUAGAGAGAGAGAGAGGGAGAGACCACCUGUUGCCACUCCCAAGCAGAGAUGCUGUCAGCAUUCUGAAGAUUACAACACUGGCCGUCUGGAACCUCAUUGGCGUGUCUUCAUUUGGAUUGUCCAUGCUCAUUACAACGUGGACUGCUCUCCAUACACAUCUCUCAAGAUGAGCAGUGUUCUGUUGAUAUGACAAGAGAGGUGGUCAUCCGCUGCAUGAUAGAAUUCCUUGGGGAAAAUGCAGGAG
Molecule: long non-coding RNA, 311 nt
Organism: Xyrauchen texanus (razorback sucker)
Lineage: Eukaryota; Metazoa; Chordata; Actinopteri; Cypriniformes; Catostomidae
Exons: 3
Source: RefSeq, a predicted model, not a curated record